GGCAGUCAAAGCCCGAACACUCCCAGAGCAUGGUGCCAGGCGGCGGCCCAGAAAUUCAGCGGAGGCAUCGGCUCCAAAUUAUGUGCUCUGUUAAAUGUCGGGGAGGCUGAGAAAGCAGCUCAAGCCCCAGAUAAAGCAGAAGAUGGGUCUACAGCCGAGAGCUGCGGCUG
Molecule: long non-coding RNA, 170 nt
Organism: Sinocyclocheilus rhinocerous
Lineage: Eukaryota; Metazoa; Chordata; Actinopteri; Cypriniformes; Cyprinidae
Exons: 3
Source: RefSeq, a predicted model, not a curated record